Molecule: ribosomal RNA, 253 nt
Filed under: uncultured bacterium
Lineage: Bacteria
Description: partial 16S ribosomal RNA
Rfam family: Bacterial small subunit ribosomal RNA
Source: RNAcentral
UACGUAGGGGGCUAGCGUUGUCCGGAUUUAUUGGGCGUAAAGAGCGUGUAGGCGGCCAUGUAGGUCCGGUGUGAAAACUCGAGGCUUAACCUCGAGACGCCGGUUGAAACCAUCAGGCUAGAGUCCGGAAGAGGAGAGUGGAAUUCCCGGUGUAGCGGUGAAAUGCGCAGAUAUCGGGAAGAACACCCGUGGCUAAGGCGGCUCUCUAGUACGGUACUGACGCUGAGACGCGAAAGCGUGGGGAGCGAACAGG